GCAGAGUUUACAACCUCAUUUAUAUAGAUUCAGAGUAAUGGUAUUGGAUCGUUUGGGACAAUUGAUAACUUAAUAAUGCUGGUCGUCCUGUGUAUGAUGAUACUCCUGCUGCAAUCGCAAGCAGACUCGAAGACGAUACGAGUCAAGUCUUCCGGAAAGAUUUCAUUGAAUUUUGUAUAUCAGCAGAGGAGAAGCACAAUCAUAAAAUGUUGCGGGAAUGUAAGGUGCCUGGGUAACCGCCCAGUUCUUUCAAAGCUCAAAAAUACGACAAAUGCAGAGGUCCUAUCAAAAAUUUCAUCGCAAUCUUCACCGAGUAUAAUCAAGAAAACAACCGUCGGAACGGAUAUGACGUCGGACAAUGCCGCAGGAUCAAAUUUGGACACGACGCCCUCGUCGUUUGACCUUACUGAUGUCGGAGGAAAAACCAUUUCUUCGGCUCCAAGUGCGUCAUCAACCAAAAGCUUGACAGGAACAGCCGCAGGAGCAACAACGGUGGUGGCAAGAGCGACAACAGCCGCAGGAGCAACAACAGCUGCAGGAGCAACAACGGCGGCUGGACAGCCAACGACGGCCGGAGCAACAACAGCCGCAGGAGCGUCAACGGCCGCAGGAGAGACAACAGCCGCAGGAGUAACAACGGCGGCUGGACGGUCAACGACGGCCGGAGCAACA
Long non-coding RNA from Cloeon dipterum, 672 nucleotides. RefSeq lists it as uncharacterized. The record is from RefSeq and is a predicted model, not a curated record. The transcript has 4 exons. Lineage: Eukaryota; Metazoa; Arthropoda; Insecta; Ephemeroptera; Baetidae.